UGUGCCUUAGUGAUCCGUCGGCAGAGUGCCCUGUCACAAUGCUGACACUCAAGCUGCUGACAACCACG
Molecule: small nucleolar RNA, 68 nt
Organism: Chelonoidis abingdonii (Abingdon island giant tortoise)
Lineage: Eukaryota; Metazoa; Chordata; Testudines; Testudinidae
Gene: SNORD71
Product: small nucleolar RNA, C/D box 71
Source: Ensembl